This 438-nucleotide ribosomal RNA is filed under the name uncultured bacterium. RNAcentral's name for it is "bacterial SSU rRNA". It matches the Rfam family "Bacterial small subunit ribosomal RNA", at positions 74 to 507 of the family's 1533-position model. The record is from RNAcentral.
GGUAGCUGGCUACCUAACCUAGCGGCGGACGGGUGAGUAAGGCUUAGGAAUCUGCCUAUUAGUGGGGGACAACUUUCCGAAGGGAAUGCUAAUACCGCAUACCCCCUACGGGGGAAAGCAGGGGAUCUUCGGACCUUGCGCUAAAUGAUGAGCCUAAGUCGGAUUAGCUAGUUGGGGGGGUAAAGGCCUACCAAGGCGACAAUCUGUAGCGGGUCUGAAAGGAUGAUCCGCCACACUGGGACUGAAACACGGCCCAAACUCCUACGGGAGGCAGCAGUGGGGAAUAUUGGACAAUGGGCGGAAGCCUGAUCCAGCCAUGCCGCGUGUGUGAAGAAGGCCUUUUGGUUGUAAAGCACUUUAAGCGAGGAGGAGGCUACCUGGAUUAAUACUCUGGGAUAGUGAACGUUACUCGCAAAAUAAGCACCGGCUAACUCUGUG